GUGGGGAAUUUUGGACAAUGGGCGAAAGCCUGAUCCAGCAAUGCCGCGUGCAGGAUGAAGGCCUUCGGGUUGUAAACUGCUUUUGUACGGAACGAAACGGUUCUUUCUAAUAAAGAGAGCUAAUGACGGUACCGUAAGAAUAAGCACCGGCUAACUACGUGCCAGCAGCCGCGGUAAUACGUAGGGUGCAAGCGUUAAUCGGAAUUACUGGGCGUAAAGCGUGCGCAGGCGGUUAUGUAAGACAGUUGUGAAAUCCCCGGGCUCAACCUGGGAAUUGCAUCUGUGACUGCAUAGCUAGAGUACGGUAGAGGGGGAUGGAAUUCCGCGUGUAGCAGUGAAAUGCGUAGAUAUGCGGAGGAACACCGAUGGCGAAGGCAAUCCCCUGGACCUGUACUGACGCUCAUGCACGAAAGCGUGGGGAGCAAACAGGAUUAGAUACCCUAGUAGUCC
This 450-nucleotide ribosomal RNA is filed under the name uncultured bacterium. RNAcentral describes it as "bacterial SSU rRNA". It matches the Rfam family "Bacterial small subunit ribosomal RNA", at positions 354 to 796 of the family's 1533-position model. The record is from RNAcentral.